This is a long non-coding RNA of Ailuropoda melanoleuca (giant panda), 443 nucleotides long. RefSeq lists it as uncharacterized. Lineage: Eukaryota; Metazoa; Chordata; Mammalia; Carnivora; Ursidae. The record is from RefSeq and is a predicted model, not a curated record. The transcript has 3 exons.
CUUUCAAGCAGACUCCUGCCGAGCAAGGAGCCCAGCACCAGGCUCAAUUCCAGGACCCAUGAGAGCAUGACCUGAGCUGAAACCAAGAGUCAGACGCUUAACUGACUGAGACAUCCAGGACGAAGACCCACCUUGAGCCCCCUGAGAAUGAAGGUUGGCGUUCACUAGCUCCCAGACUCCAGUUUAUAACAGUGUUCAUCCCCAGUCUCGCAUCUUCAUCAUCAUCAACCUUCUGACCUAAGAGUGUUGGGAGAAGAGCCUAGGAAGGAGGUCUUGAGAAUUCACAGGUUUACAAAUACAUCGACCUUCUCCUCCACCCCUCCUCCACGGACAGUGAAUGCUAGAGGCACAACAGAUCUCUUUUACUGGAACAGAGAGGACCGUGGUCCCAGUAUUUAUACAAGGCCACUCACUCCAGUGUGGAUUGCCCUCAGGUUCUCUGA